RNAcentral lists this ribosomal RNA (1372 nucleotides) under uncultured bacterium. RNAcentral describes it as "bacterial SSU rRNA". It matches the Rfam family "Bacterial small subunit ribosomal RNA", at positions 28 to 1381 of the family's 1533-position model. The record is from RNAcentral.
GAUGAACGCUGGCGGCGUGCCUAAUACAUGCAAGUCGAGCGAACGGACGAGAAGCUUGCUUCUCUGAUGUUAGCGGCGGACGGGUGAGUAACACGUGGAUAACCUACCUAUAAGACUGGGAUAACUUCGGGAAACCGGAGCUAAUACCGGAUAAUAUUUUGAACCGCAUGGUUCAAAAGUGAAAGACGGUCUUGCUGUCACUUAUAGAUGGAUCCGCGCUGCAUUAGCUAGUUAGUAAGGUAACGGCUUACCAAGGCAACGAUGCAUAGCCGACCUGAGAGGGUGAUCGGCCACACUGGAACUGAGACACGGUCCAGACUCCUACGGGAGGCAGCAGUAGGGAAUCUUCCGCAAUGGGCGAAAGCCUGACGGAGCAACGCCGCGUGAGUGAUGAAGGUCUUCGGAUCGUAAAACUCUGUUAUUAGGGAAGAACAUAUGUGUAAGUAACUGUGCACAUCUUGACGGUACCUAAUCAGAAAGCCACGGCUAACUACGUGCCAGCAGCCGCGGUAAUACGUAGGUGGCAAGCGUUAUCCGGAAUUAUUGGGCGUAAAGCGCGCGUAGGCGGUUUUUUAAGUCUGAUGUGAAAGCCCACGGCUCAACCGUGGAGGGUCAUUGGAAACUGGAAAACUUGAGUGCAGAAGAGGAAAGUGGAAUUCCAUGUGUAGCGGUGAAAUGCGCAGAGAUAUGGAGGAACACCAGUGGCGAAGGCGACUUUCUGGUCUGUAACUGACGCUGAUGUGCGAAAGCGUGGGGAUCAAACAGGAUUAGAUACCCUGGUAGUCCACGCCGUAAACGAUGAGUGCUAAGUGUUAGGGGGUUUCCGCCCCUUAGUGCUGCAGCUAACGCAUUAAGCACUCCGCCUGGGGAGUACGACCGCAAGGUUGAAACUCAAAGGAAUUGACGGGGACCCGCACAAGCGGUGGAGCAUGUGGUUUAAUUCGAAGCAACGCGAAGAACCUUACCAAAUCUUGACAUCCUUUGACAACUCUAGAGAUAGAGCUUUCCCCUUCGGGGGACAAAGUGACAGGUGGUGCAUGGUUGUCGUCAGCUCGUGUCGUGAGAUGUUGGGUUAAGUCCCGCAACGAGCGCAACCCUUAAGCUUAGUUGCCAUCAUUAAGUUGGGCACUCUAAGUUGACUGCCGGUGACAAACCGGAGGAAGGUGGGGAUGACGUCAAAUCAUCAUGCCCCUUAUGAUUUGGGCUACACACGUGCUACAAUGGACAAUACAAAGGGCAGCGAAACCGUGAGGUCAAGCAAAUCCCAUAAAGUUGUUCUCAGUUCGGAUUGUAGUCUGCAACUCGACUACAUGAAGCUGGAAUCGCUAGUAAUCGUAGAUCAGCAUGCUACGGUGAAUACGUUCCCGGGUCU